RNAcentral lists this long non-coding RNA (2748 nucleotides) under Brachypodium distachyon (stiff brome). RNAcentral's name for it is "long non-coding RNA (BDIS_LNC004838)". The record is from RNAcentral. Lineage: Eukaryota; Viridiplantae; Streptophyta; Magnoliopsida; Poales; Poaceae.
UGGGAGAUUAGUCUACGAAUUUAGAUACCUAGAAGAUCUUUGACGAGCAACAACGAAAAUCCGCUGAACUAGUGGAUCCAAUUUAAGAACCUGCAAUGUAAGUACGUGGUAUCGUCAGAAUAAAAACCUCUAGAAAAAACAUCAGAGGGGUAAGAAUUCAAGCUUAUACGAGACUAAAGGCAGAAAGAAGAAGCAUAACGAGUAAAGCAGGAGAAAAUCUCAUAGGCAUGUGAACGCCAGGCUCAACUUCCAACUAUUUUUUUGACAGCAAGCUCAUUUGUCAACUAUUUUGUUUUACAGCAAGCUCAUUUGCCAGCUAGAUAACAAGUUCAGGUGCAAUAGCUUCGCAAGGCGUCAAUAGCCUGAAUUUGUUUUUUCCCAGCAGAAGCAGCAACAACAAUGGAUCCAUUUGCACCUUGGUUAUAUCACCCCAGCCUCCUGAUUUCCUAACGGCAUGAAAUGAAACUCCACUGCUCCCUUCUCCCACCGAAACUGCACCGAAUCCUGACGAGAAAACAACUGCAUAUAUCAUCUUUCAAAAUUGUAGAUGUCUGGCACUUCUAUUCUAGCCAAAACUGCAUCGAAUCCUGGUGAUUUUGGGCGAAAAACAGUACUGCAUUCAGAUUUUACAAGCCCCUCUCAAUGUAGAAACAGUCAAGAAUGAACUGAUAACAUCAGAAGUGUAAAAAUUAAUAAACUGCAAUGAAAGUAUAUGGUAUGGUCAGAAUUGAAAUCUCUAGAAAACAUCUGAGGGAUAGACUUCUCUCUUUUGCUUGCACAAAGAAGAUGAUACUAAUCUGAUAAAGCUUAGUACUCUUCCUCAUCUGGGAAUUGCUUGCGCGAAGGUAAAUCAAAUCCGAAAAUGAAAAGUGUAAAUAAAAUCAACUUCAUUUUAAUUUUUGCAAGAACUAAAGGAAACUUGCUUAUAAACCCAUCUCUCACAGGCAUUUUGCCGAACAGGUAGCAUACAUGAACAGGUGUUUCUCACCUUAACAGUAGAUGAGGGCGGGCAGGCGUGCAUCUCGUCGAACACGCGGUGGAGGGAAGAUGAGGACCUGCGGCUGUGCAAAUUGUUACAAAGUUAGUGUGAGAUCGAGAUAGGCAAUCAGAGGGGGGGUGAAUGAUUGCGCGGAAGCAAAUUAAAACUUUUCCCGAAAGUUCAAACCCUAAAUCACCUUUCUGUCCGUGAUAGUAAAACAGCCGUAACUUUUGAUUGGAUGAACCAAAAAAUACGUAUGAGUAUGGAAAAGAAAGGUAUUAAAAUUAUGUAACCAACGCAACAAGAAUCGGCUCAAUCGGACUUACCAAUCAAAAGAUAUGAUCAAAAUAGUAACAGCUGACAGAAAGUUACGAGGAUUAAUCUAAAACCAAUUUCGAGGAAUAACAAGAAAGAUGAAUUAAUUGCAAUCUUCUCUUGAUCUCGUGAUAAACCUGCAGCAAAGUAUUAUAAACUUGUGAUGAACCUGCACCAAAGUAUUAGAAAGAUCUAGCACGAACAUUUCACGAAGAUCCGAGAAGAACAGAGAUGACACCGCCAACGAAUCUCUUUAUUGCAACGAUGUCGAUCGAUUACAAAAGAUGCAACCAUGCAUCCAAGAACUCUCCAAGAAUUGAUCUAGAUCCAAAGCUUUGAGUUCCCUCACGUCCUUGCUAAAACCCUAGCUAGGAUGCCCUCUAUUUAUAAGUGAAAAUUCGCAACCCUAAACCGAAUCCGAAUCCAACACGGACUCCUCUGUCCCGGUCAGUAUUUUGCCCGUGGGGCCCGCAUACGACCUCGGAUUGAGAUGACUCCAAAAUCAAAGUUGUUCGUCUCGACGACGCGCACAGCUUUCAUGUGGAUCACUUUUCCAUCCGACGCCAUCUUAAUGACGCUACUGUUUAAUCUUUAAACAGCUCUCAUCCAGCCACGGCUGGACCUACAUAUCUUCACCUCGAUGUCACUUCAUACCAUCAACUCUUCUUGUGAUGUCUUCAAAACUCGACCAUCACGUAUCGAAUAUCUCCAAUACCGUACAUCUCCGGUAUAAACAAUCAACGGCAAACUGGUGCCCUCCCGGAUCAUCGUAGCGUUCACUUCCAUUGUUCCUUCGCACGAACGUCCCGCAUGACCUUGAUCCUCGACCUCAGCUUCCCAAGCUUCGUCUCUCGAUCCCGUCAUCGACCACGUUCUUCUAGCUCCGGCAACACCUGAAAGCGAACACACAAAUAACCAGUACGAGCACAAGUCCACGACUUGACUCAGGGUAAGUUUCACACAACUCACGCCAUGUUUUCACAUAAGAAACUAAUGGAUCAGCACACCACUAGCAAAGCACUAAGUCCAAACAAGAUACAUGUCAUCACUUAAAUAUCCAUAUUAUCCAAAGUAUCCACAUCAAUGUUUCAUCUAAAACACUUGCCAAUGUUACACAUCACAUAUGAUUUCACAAUUAGCUAGCAGUGCAGUAAAAUUCAUCUCAGAAAAUUAAUCAUGGAGCUCUUGAUCGGCGGCAGGGCACCGGCUCAGGGAGGUCGGAGGUCGUGCUGUGCGGGAGGGCCCCUCGACGGUUGAGCCGUGCGAAGCCGCCGUCGACCGGGGUGAAGUGGAGGGAGAGUCGGCUUCGCCGGAGGUGGUUGAGAGAAUCAGAACCGAAUGGAUAUCAGGGGAGGGAGAGAGAGAGAGGAAGCAUCUUCACCCGUAUGCUCUUGGCCUGAGGGAGGGAGGGAGAGAGAGGGACGGCCACUGCCGCCGGUGGAUACCAAGGGCUC